RNAcentral lists this ribosomal RNA (403 nucleotides) under uncultured Vampirovibrio sp. Its description in RNAcentral is "partial 16S ribosomal RNA". It matches the Rfam family "Bacterial small subunit ribosomal RNA", at positions 355 to 774 of the family's 1533-position model. Lineage: Bacteria; Bacillati; Candidatus Melainabacteria; Vampirovibriophyceae; Vampirovibrionales; Vampirovibrionaceae. The record is from RNAcentral.
UAGGGAAUUUUGCGCAAUGGGCGAAAGCCUGACGCAGCAACACCGCGUGAACGAUGAAGCUUUUCGGAGUGUAAAGUUCUGUCAGUGGGGACGAAAUUUGACGGUACCCACAGAGGAAGCACCGGCUAACUCCGUGCCAGCAGCCGCGGUAAUACGGGGGGUGCAAGCGUUGUCCGGAAUCAUUGGGCGUAAAGAGUUCGUAGGUGGUAUGUUAAGUCUGGUGUUAAAGCCCGAAGCUCAACUUCGGUUCGGCACUGGAUACUGGCAAACUUGAAUGUGGUAGAGGUAAAGGGAAUUCCUGGUGUAGCGGUGAAAUGCGUAGAUAUCAGGAGGAACAUCGGUGGCGUAAGCGCUUUACUGGGCCAUAAUUGACACUGAGGAACGAAAGCCAGGGUAGCAAAUG